UACAGAGACCUCAAGCGUUAUCCGGAAUCAUUGGGCGUAAAGCGUCCGACAGGUGGUUUAGAAAGUCAGAAGUGAAAUCUUAAAGCUCAACUUUGAGACUGUCUUUUGAAACUUCUAAACUAGAGGGGCAAAGAGGAAGCUGGAACGAACGGUGUAGUAGUGAAAUGCGUUGAUAUCGUUCGGAACACCAAUAGCGAAGGCAAGCUUCUGGGUGCCACCUGACACUGCUAGGACGAAAGCGUGGGGAGCG
This 250-nucleotide ribosomal RNA is filed under the name uncultured bacterium. Its description in RNAcentral is "partial 16S ribosomal RNA". It matches the Rfam family "Bacterial small subunit ribosomal RNA", at positions 524 to 770 of the family's 1533-position model. The record is from RNAcentral.